UAGAGUUUGAUCAUGGCUCAGAUUGAACGCUGGCGGCAGGCUUAACACAUGCAAGUCGAGCGGUAACAGGAAUAGCUUGCUAUUUGCUGACGAGCGGCGGACGGGUGAGUAAUGCUUGGGAAUAUGCCUUAUGGUGGGGGACAACAGUUGGAAACGACUGCUAAUACCGCAUAAUGUCUACGGACCAAAGGGGGGGAUCUUCGGACCUCUCGCCAUUUGAUUAGCCCAAGUGAGAUUAGCUAGUUGGUAAGGUAAUGGCUUACCAAGGCGACGAUCUCUAGCUGGUUUGAGAGGAUGAUCAGCCACACUGGGACUGAGACACGGCCCAGACUCCUACGGGAGGCAGCAGUGGGGAAUAUAGCACAAUGGGGGAAACCCUGAUGCAGCCAUGCCGCGUGUGUGAAGAAGGCCUUCGGGUUGUAAAGCACUUUCAGUUGUGAGGAAAGGUGUGUAGUUAAUAGCUGCAUACUGUGACGUUAACAACAGAAGAAGCACCGGCUAACUUCGUGCCAGCAGCCGCGGUAAUACGAGGGGUGCAAGCGUUAAUCGGAAUUACUGGGCGUAAAGCGUUCGUAGGCGGUUGAAUAAGCAAGAUGUGAAAGCCCAGGGCUCAACCAUGGAACUGCAUUUUGAACUGUUCGACUAGAGUACUGUAGAGGGGGGUAGAAUUUCA
RNAcentral lists this ribosomal RNA (673 nucleotides) under uncultured Vibrionaceae bacterium. Its description in RNAcentral is "bacterial SSU rRNA". It matches the Rfam family "Bacterial small subunit ribosomal RNA", at positions 1 to 671 of the family's 1533-position model. Lineage: Bacteria; Pseudomonadati; Pseudomonadota; Gammaproteobacteria; Vibrionales; Vibrionaceae. The record is from RNAcentral.